This 318-nucleotide ribosomal RNA is filed under the name uncultured eukaryote. RNAcentral describes it as "partial 18S ribosomal RNA". It matches the Rfam family "Eukaryotic small subunit ribosomal RNA", at positions 1470 to 1796 of the family's 1831-position model. The record is from RNAcentral.
CCCUUAGAUGUCCUGGGCCGCACGCGUGCUACACUGACGCAUACAGCGAGCACUUUCCAGUUCCGAGAGGCUACUGGUAAUCAUCAAUAUGCGUCGUGAUGGGGAUAGAUCUUUGGAAUUCUGGAUCUUGAACGAGGAAUGCCUAGUAAUCGCAGGUCAUUAGCCUGCGAUGAUUAAGUCCCUGCCCUUUGUACACACCGCCCGUCGCUACUACCGAUUUCGAGUGGUCAGGUGAAUCUUUCGGACUGUGGGCGCCCUUGAGGUGUUCGCGGAAAGUCAGGUAAAUCUCAUCACUUAGAGGAAGUAAAAGUCGUAACA